AUACGGAGGACGCGAGCGUUAUCCGGAUUCAUUGGGUUUAAAGGGUGCGCAGGCGGCCGUGCAAGUCAGCGGUGAAAGCCCGGGGCUCAACCCCGGAAGUGCCGUUGAUACUGCAUGGCUGGAAUGCGGUCGAGGCGGGCGGAACGUGGCGGGUAGCGGGGAAAUGCGUAGAUAUGCCACAGAAAGCCGAUAGCGGAGGCGGCUCGCCAGGCCUGCAUUGACGCUCGGGCACGAAAGCGUGGGGAUCGAACAGGAUUAGAUACCCUGGUAGUCCACGCCGUAAACGAUGGGCGCUCGUCGUCGGCGGCAGACAGUCGGCGGCCAAGCGAAAGCGAUAAGCGCCCCACCUGGGGAGUACGGUCGCAAGGCUGAAACUCAAAUGAAUUGACGGGG
RNAcentral lists this ribosomal RNA (393 nucleotides) under uncultured bacterium. RNAcentral describes it as "partial 16S ribosomal RNA". It matches the Rfam family "Bacterial small subunit ribosomal RNA", at positions 523 to 918 of the family's 1533-position model. The record is from RNAcentral.